CGAGGGCUAAUACCGGAUAAUCUUAGAUCUUGGCAUCAAGGUUUAAGGAAAGGUGGCCUCUGAAAAUGCUACCGAUUAUGGAUGGACCCGCGUCUGAUUAGCUAGUUGGUGGGGUAAAGGCCUACCAAGGCGACGAUCAGUAGCCGGCCUGAGAGGGUGAACGGCCACACUGGGACUGAGACACGGCCCAGACUCCUACGGGAGGCAGCAGUGGGGAAUAUUCCGCAAU
This 229-nucleotide ribosomal RNA is filed under the name uncultured bacterium. RNAcentral's name for it is "partial 16S ribosomal RNA". It matches the Rfam family "Bacterial small subunit ribosomal RNA", at positions 157 to 372 of the family's 1533-position model. The record is from RNAcentral.